This is a long non-coding RNA of Myodes glareolus (Bank vole), 453 nucleotides long. RefSeq lists it as uncharacterized. The record is from RefSeq and is a predicted model, not a curated record. NCBI's taxonomy places the organism in Eukaryota, Metazoa, Chordata, Mammalia, Rodentia, Cricetidae.
CAUGUUCAGCAGUGCCGACGGUGAGCCGGUCACCAAGCUCACUUCAUCUCCCUGAAAAUUCUUGCUGCCCAUUUGAGGGGUGGCCAUUAUUAUCUUUUUCAGAUCAUGGUGGGAAGAGCCUUGUAUGAUGAGAAAUGGGGAACCCAGCAACCAUGUGAUUGACGAAGGACCAGUUUUUCCUUCCUCGCUAAUGUCCUGGUAGGCAGCAGUGGAAGAAGAAGAAGGCUAAAGAAGCUGAGGACUGCCCAAGGUCAGCCAGCAAGUGCAGAGCUGCACUCUCAGAAACUGAGACCGGGGAACACUCCUGCCUAAGAUUUACUCCCCCAUGUGGUCAAAAAUGCUUUUAAGCCUCUCUAGAUGGAACCUCCCCAACUCAUGAUAGCCUGAAUCUGUAGCCCACAAUGAACUGUUAGAAAAGUCUAUCAAUUUGUGCUUUCUGUCUUUUAAAUUUGU